Molecule: transfer RNA, 74 nt
Filed under: Coccidioides posadasii C735 delta SOWgp
Lineage: Eukaryota; Fungi; Ascomycota; Eurotiomycetes; Onygenales; Onygenaceae
Also listed under: 13 other names
Description: tRNA-Met (CAT) (tRNA-Met-CAT-2-1)
Rfam family: tRNA
About the family: Transfer RNA (tRNA) molecules are approximately 80 nucleotides in length. Their secondary structure includes four short double-helical elements and three loops (D, anti-codon, and T loops).
Source: RNAcentral
GCCCCCGUGGUCUAGUUGGUCAUGACGCCGGUCUCAUAAUCCGGAGGCCACCAGUUCGAACCUGGUCGGAGGCA